Molecule: ribosomal RNA, 791 nt
Filed under: Notonectidae sp. MT-2014
Lineage: Eukaryota; Metazoa; Arthropoda; Insecta; Hemiptera; Notonectidae
Description: 16S ribosomal RNA
Rfam family: Bacterial large subunit ribosomal RNA (bases 581-739)
Source: RNAcentral
AUGUAGGUUUAACAACGGCCAUCAUUUAUUUCGUUAUAGUUAAUUGUAUUUUUUUUUGAUUUAUUAUUAAUUUAAUUUUUUAUUAAAAAUAAUAUUUUAAUAAUUUGUUUAUUGUUAUAAUGAUAAAAUUAGUAUUUUUUGUAAUUAAAAUUUAGGAACUCGGCAAUUUUUAUUUUCGCCUGUUUAACAAAAACAUGUCCUUUUGUUAUUUAUAUAAGGUCUAACCUGCCCAAUGAUUAAUUUUUAAUGGCCGCGGUAUUUUAACUGUGCAAAGGUAGCAUAAUCAAUUGUCUUUUAAUUGAAGGCUAGAAUGAAUGGUUGGACGAAAAAUUAACUUUCUUAAUUUUAAAUAAUUAAUUUAAUUUUUUAGUUAAAAAGCUAAAAUUUUUUUAUAGGACGAGAAGACCCUAUAGAACUUUAUUUCUUAAUUAUAUAAUUGUUUUGGUUUAUGAUAUUUUAUAUAAUAAUUGAAUUUUUAUUGGGGUGAUAUGAAAAUUUAAUUAACUUUUCUUUAAUUUUUUUCAAUAAUUAUUGUAUUUUUGAUCCAAUUUUUUUGAUUAUUAGUUUAAGUUACCUUAGGGAUAACAGCGUUAUUUUAUUGGAGAGUUCAUAUCGAUAAUAGAGUUUGCGACCUCGAUGUUGAAUUAAGAUUAGUAAUAGGUGCAGAAUUUUAUUUACUAGGUCUGUUCGACCUUUAAAUUCUUACAUGAUUUGAGUUAAGACCGGCGUGAGCCAGGUUGGUUUCUAUCCUUAAUUUAAUAAAAUAUUUUAGUACGAAAGGACCAAGUAUU